Molecule: ribosomal RNA, 301 nt
Filed under: uncultured bacterium
Lineage: Bacteria
Description: partial 16S ribosomal RNA
Rfam family: Bacterial small subunit ribosomal RNA
Source: RNAcentral
CAACAGCCACGGGAAUACAGAGGGUGCGAGCGUUAAUCGGAUUUACUGGGCGUAAAGCGUGCGUAGGCGGCUUUUUAAGUCGGAUGUGAAAUCCCUGAGCUUAACUUAGGAAUUGCAUUCGAUACUGGGAAGCUAGAGUAUGGGAGAGGAUGGUAGAAUUCCAGGUGUAGCGGUGAAAUGCGUAGAGAUCUGGAGGAAUACCGAUGGCGAAGGCAGCCAUCUGGCCUAAUACUGACGCUGAGGUACGAAAGCAUGGGGAGCAAACAGGAUUAGAUACCCCCGUAGUCCCUGUCUCUUAUAC